GACGAACGCUGGCGGCGUGCUUAACACAUGCAAGUCGAACGAUGAAGAAGAGAAACGCGAACUUCGGUUCAAAUUUCACUUCGGAUUAGUGGCAGACGGGUGAGUAACGCGUGAGCAACCUACCUCUUACAAAGGGAUAGCCUCGGGAAACCGUGAUUAAUACCAUAUGGCACAUUCAUAAGGCAUCUUAAGAAUGUUAAAGCUACGGCGGUAAGAGAUGGGCUCGCGUCCCAUUAGCUAGUUGGUGAGGUAACGGCCCACCAAGGCGACGAUGGGUAACCGGCCUGAGAGGGUGAACGGUCACAUUGGAACUGAGACACGGUCCAAACUCCUACGGGAAGCAGCAGUGGGGAAUAUUGCACAAUGGAGGGAACUCUGAUGCAGCGACGCCGCGUGAGCGAUGAAGGAAUUCGUUUCGUAAAGCUCUGUUCUAUGGGAAGAAAAGGACUGUACCAUAGGAGAAAGCCCCGGCUAAAUACGUG
Molecule: ribosomal RNA, 482 nt
Filed under: uncultured bacterium
Lineage: Bacteria
Description: partial 16S ribosomal RNA
Rfam family: Bacterial small subunit ribosomal RNA
Source: RNAcentral